Molecule: ribosomal RNA, 460 nt
Filed under: uncultured bacterium
Lineage: Bacteria
Description: partial 16S ribosomal RNA
Rfam family: Bacterial small subunit ribosomal RNA
Source: RNAcentral
CCUACGGGUGGCAGCAGUGAGGAAUAUUCGUCAAUGGACGAGAGUCUGAACCAGCGAAGCAGCGUGAAGGAUGACUGCCUUCUGGGUUGUAAACUUCUUUUUUAUGGGAGUAAAUUGUUCCACGUGUGUGAUUUUGUAUUUACCAUAUGUUUAAGGAUCGGCUAACCUCGGUCCGUCCGCCGCGGUACUACGGAGGAUCGGAGCGGUAUCCGGUUUUGUUGGGUUUAAAGGGAGUGUAGGUGGGUUGUUAAGUCAGUUGUGAAAGUUUGUGGCUCAACCGUAAAAUUGCAUUGGAGACUGGCAGACUUGAGUACAGUAGAGGUGAGCGGAAUUCGUGGUGUAGCGGUGAAAUGCGUAGAUAUCACGAAGAACUCCGAUUGCGAAGGCAGCUCACUGGACUGCAACUGACACUGAGGCUCGAAAGUGUGGGUAGCAAACAGGAUUAGAUACCCUUGUAGUC